GAGGAAAGUCCGGGCAACACAGAGCAACUCACUUCCUAACGGGAAGGCUCCGCUCAGGCGGAGACAGCAAGUGCCACAGAAAAUAUACCGCCUUGUCUUCGGACAGGGUAAGGGUGAAAACGUGAGGUAAGAGCUCACGGUAUUGCAUGGCGACAUGGAUUACGGUAAACCUUGAGUGUUGAAAGACCAAAUAGGUUACGAAACUCGAAGGCUGCUCGUCUUCUUUUACUUCGGUAAGAUUCGUAAUGGGUAGGUUGAUGGAGUCUGUCAGCAAUGGCAGAUCUAGAUAAAUGAUAGAAAACCGAUUUUUCGGUGUACAGAACCCGGCUUA
This 331-nucleotide RNase P RNA is filed under the name Sphingobacterium spiritivorum ATCC 33300. Its description in RNAcentral is "bacterial RNase P class A". It matches the Rfam family "Bacterial RNase P class A", at positions 43 to 351 of the family's 367-position model. From Rfam's summary of the family: Ribonuclease P (RNase P) is a ubiquitous endoribonuclease, found in archaea, bacteria and eukarya as well as chloroplasts and mitochondria. Lineage: Bacteria; Pseudomonadati; Bacteroidota; Sphingobacteriia; Sphingobacteriales; Sphingobacteriaceae. The record is from RNAcentral.